GAAAAGAACUUUGGAGAGAGAGUUAAAAAGUACGUGAAACCGUAUAGGGGUUAAGCCCGUUGAAUCUAAUCUAUCCGAUGGAUGAAAUUCAAUAUUAAAUUUAAUCAUUUAGUAUGCACUUUUCAUCUAGUAGGACACUGCAAUCCGUUAGAUUAAAUAUAUGCUUUUUUGCUAUAUUUGAGUCUAUCUCUAGAAUUCGCCAUGGAUUGUUUAUCAUAAAUAUCAUUAUGUUAUUUUGAUAAAUCCAUAUAGAAUUUUGAUAGUAUUCGACUGACGGAUUUAAAACAAUCAUAUAACAUUCAUAUGUAAUUAUAUUAUAUUAAUUUAUAUGUAUUUGAUUGGCAGUGCACUCAAAGAUUUAGAUACCUUCGGGGCCCGUCUUGAAACACGGA
Molecule: ribosomal RNA, 392 nt
Filed under: Phlebotomus mireillae
Lineage: Eukaryota; Metazoa; Arthropoda; Insecta; Diptera; Psychodidae
Description: eukaryotic LSU rRNA
Source: RNAcentral